AUUGAACGCUGGCGGCAUGCCUUACACAUGCAAGUCGAACGGUAACAGGUCUUCGGAUGCUGACGAGUGGCGAACGGGUGAGUAAUACAUCGGAACGUGCCUAGUGGUGGGGGAUAACUACUCGAAAGAGUGGCUAAUACCGCAUGAGAUCUACGGAUGAAAGCAGGGGAUCGCAAGACCUUGUGCUACUAGAGCGGCCGAUGGCAGAUUAGGUAGUUGGUGGGAUAAAAGCUUACCAAGCCGACGAUCUGUAGCUGGUCUGAGAGGACGAUCAGCCACACUGGGACUGAGACACGGCCCAGACUCCUACGGGAGGCAGCAGUGGGGAAUUUUGGAUAAUGGGCGAAAGCCUGAUCCAGCAAUGCCGCGUGCAGGAUGAAGGCCUACGGGUUGUAAACUGCUUUUGUACGGAACGAAAAGCCCUGGGUUAAUACCCUGGGGUCAUGACGGUACCGUAAGAAUAAGCACCGGCUAACUACGUGCCAGCCGCCGCCGUAA
RNAcentral lists this ribosomal RNA (498 nucleotides) under uncultured bacterium. RNAcentral's name for it is "partial 16S ribosomal RNA". It matches the Rfam family "Bacterial small subunit ribosomal RNA", at positions 30 to 523 of the family's 1533-position model. The record is from RNAcentral.